UUCCAUGCUACCCGAGGAAGGGGCCCAUAUGGCGUUGUUCUGGAUUCCCGUCGUAACUUAAAGGGAAACUUUCACGAUGUCCGGAGCCCUUGAUGUCCUGCAAAUGAAGGAGGAGGAUGUCCUCAAAUUCCUUGCAGCAGGAACCCACUUAGGUGGCACCAACCUUGACUUCCAAAUGGAACAAUACAUCUACAAAAGGAAAACUGAUGGCAUCUACAUCAUAAAUCUGAAGAGGACCUGGGAGAAGCUUCUGUUGGCAGCUCGUGCCAUUGUUGCCAUUGAAAACCCUGCUGAUGUCAGUGUCACAUCCUCCAGAAAUACUGGCCAGCGAGCUGUGCUGAAGUUUGCUGCUGCCACUGGAGCCACUCCUAUUGCUGGCCGCUUCACUCCUGGAACCUUCACUAGCCAGAUCCAGGCAGCGUUCCGGGAGCCGCGUCUUCUGGUGGUUACUGACCCCAGGGCUGACCGCCAGCCCUCACGAGAGGUCUUAUUGACUUACCACCUGUCCAUACAUCCUGCUUGUGUCAACAAGAUUCCUACCUCUGCGUUCACGUGGACAUCUGCCAUCCAGCACAAACACAGGGGGCUCACUCCUGUGCGGUCCUGAUGUGGUGAUGCUUGGCCCGGAAGUCCUCCAUGCGUGGCACCAUCUCUCCCGGACCACCGUCGGGAAGUCUGCCUGAUCUCUACUUCAUACAGAAGAUCCGAAGAGUCUGAAAAAGAAGAGCAAGUUGCCGGCCGUACGAAGUGUGACCAAGAGGAUUUCAGGUGA
This is a non-coding RNA of Microcebus murinus (gray mouse lemur), 772 nucleotides long. The record is from RefSeq and is a predicted model, not a curated record. Lineage: Eukaryota; Metazoa; Chordata; Mammalia; Primates; Cheirogaleidae.